This 562-nucleotide long non-coding RNA is filed under the name Chrysolophus pictus (golden pheasant). RNAcentral's name for it is "lncRNA (ENSCPIG00010003297.1)". The record is from RNAcentral. Lineage: Eukaryota; Metazoa; Chordata; Aves; Galliformes; Phasianidae.
AUCCAUGUUUUCAAUUUAGGGCUUCUACAACUUCUGCAGCUACGUGACUUGGCUUGUGUUCAGGCGGAAACACUUCCAAGUGAUUCGGGAAGAAAUCGGCAGGCUCCUUUGCUCCGACAUGUUCAAUCUCGCCUUAAGAGACAGGAACCAUGUUUCUUUGCAGACUGCUGAUGCAAAUGCAGUGAGAUUACCACGUCAGAGACAAGUCGGUGCCAAGCAUCCAUCCAUAAACAGCAUGGUUUACCAGCACUCACCUGUGCUCAGCACACUGCUGCCCUUACCAAAGGAGAGUGCUCAGUACCGCUCCCAGAGCCACUACUGUCAGGGCAGAGACCCACAGCUGUGCUCGUGUGACAUCCUACCAGACUUCUCACAAUUGCUUACUACCAAGGUGGGCAUCAUUGGAGCUCACUGUAGUGAGUUAAAUUCCUUUUUGCUCCAGUCUGAUGGGACAAUGGAAGAGGAAGAACAAGACCAAGACCAAGAACAAAGAGAAGAACAAGGAAAUCUAAGGAGUCAUUCCUUUGUCCUGACAAAAGAUCUGAGUUUAUCAGCCCUGUGA